This is a long non-coding RNA of Oncorhynchus keta (chum salmon), 2134 nucleotides long. RefSeq lists it as uncharacterized. NCBI's taxonomy places the organism in Eukaryota, Metazoa, Chordata, Actinopteri, Salmoniformes, Salmonidae. The record is from RefSeq and is a predicted model, not a curated record. The transcript is spliced from 3 exons.
GCUAUAUUACAUGAAUUUAUUGUGAUGGUGUAGGCUACAUUACAUGGAUUUAUUGUGAAGGUGUAGGCUAUAUUACAUGGAUUUAUUGUGAUGGUGUAGGCUACAUUACAUGGAUUUAUUGUGAUGGUGUAGGCUACAUUACAUGGAUUUAUUGUGAUGGUGUAGGCUACAUUACAUGGAUUUAUUGUGAUGGUGUAGGCUAUAUUACAUGGAUUUAUUGUGAAGGUGUAGGCUACAUUACAUGGAUUUAUUGUGAAGGUGUAGGCUACAUUACAUGGAUUUAUUGUGAUGGUGUAGGCUACAUUACAUGGAUUUAUUGUGAUGGUGUAGGCUAUAUUACAUGGAUUUAUUGUGAAGGUGUAGGCACAUUUUACAUGGAUUUAUUGUGAAGGUGUAGGCUAUAUUACAUGGAUUUAUUGUGAAGGUGUAGGCUAUAUUACAUGGAUUUAUUGUGAAGGUGUAGGCUAUAUUACAUGGAUUUAUUGUGAAGGUGUAGGCUACAUUACAUGGAUUUAUUGUGAAGGUGUAGGCUACAUUACAUGGAUUUAUUGUGAUGGUGUAGGCUACAUUAAAUGGAUUUAUUGUGAUGGUGUAGGCUAUAUUACAUGGAUUUAUUGUGAAGGUGUAGGCUAUAUUACAUGGAUUUAUUGUGAUGGUGUAGGCUCCAUUACAUGGAUUUAUUGUGAUGGUGUAGGCUACAUUACAUGGAUUUAUUGUGAAGGUGUAGGCUAUAUUACAUGGAUUUAUUGUGAUGGUGUAGGCUACAUUACAUGGAUUUAUUGUGAUGGUGUAGGCUAUAUUACAUGGAUUUAUUGUGAAGGUGUAGGCUAUAUUACAUGGAUUUAUUGUGAAGGUGUAGGCUAUAUUACAUGGAUUUAUUGUGAAGGUGUAGGCUAUAUUACAUGGAUUUAUUGUGAAGGUGUAGGCUAUAUUACAUGGAUUUAUUGUGAAGGUGUAGGCUAUAUUAGAUGGAUUUAUUGUGAUGGUGUAGGCUAUAUUACAUGGAUUUAUUGUGAAGGUGUAGGCUAUAUUACAUGGAUUUAUUGUGAAGGUGUAGGCUAUAUUACAUGGAUUUAUUGUGAAGGUGUAGGCUAUAUUACAUGGAUUUAUUGUGAAGGUGUAGGCUAUAUUACAUGGAUUUAUUGUGAAGGUGUAGGCUAUAUUACAUGGAUUUAUUGUAAAGGUGUAGGCUAUAUUACAUGGAUUUAUUGUGAAGGUGUAGGCUAUAUUACAUGGAUUUAUUGUGAUGGUGUAGACUAUAUUACAUGGAUUUAUUAGACUUUUUAAAAAUGUAGAUGUUCCAAAGAUCUCCAUCAGUGGAGUUUCGCCGUUUCACUGUACCGGCCGUGUGGACUUAGACUUGCAUGGCUUAAUCUUUGAGACAAGCAUAUGCUACUGGCAGGAUCAACCAGGUAGCCACUCACAACAUAGAGGUUGUACCUAGGCACACUAAGCAAAGAACAACCAGGGACCGGUCCUAUCCCGUAGGCUAUGCGUGGAAGACAGGAGAUGCUAAAUGUGUUUAUGUUAAUUAACGGUAAAUUACUGAGACCGGCAGUUAUUUGCUUGACAAUCACCAGCGUAUGCAAUGUCAUUACCGCCACAGCCCCAUCUACAAGGUGUCGAAAGUGUUGAUGUCCUUUGGGUGGUGGACCAUUCUUGAUACACACGGGAAAGUGUUGAGAGCGGACAAAUCCAGCAGUGUUGCAUUUCUUGACACAAACCGGUGCGCCUGGCACCUACAUACCAUGUUCAAAAGGCACUUAAAUCUUUUGUCUUGCCCAUAUACCCUCUGAACGGCACACAUACACAAUCCAUGUCUCAAUUGUCUCGAGGCUUAAAAAUCCUUCUUUAACCUGUCUCCUCCCCUUCAUCUACACUGAUUGAAGUGGAUUUAACAAGUGACAAUAAGGGAUCAAAGCUUUCACCUGGAUUUCGCCUGGUCAAUCUGUCAUGGAAAGAGCAGGUGUUCCUAAUGUUUCGUACACUUAGUGUAUAUAUAUAUAUAAUGGAACAGAGCAGCUCAAGACUGAACAGCAGAGCAGAGUUUAAAAGACUUGAAGAGCCCAGGGAUAGACCCAAUAGACGGUCAUAAUGACACAGUGCAAGACACAAACCACAGAUGUCUAUGCAC